UUGGAGGGCAAGUCUGGUGCCAGCAGCCGCGGUAAUUCCAGCUCCAAUAGCGUAUAUUAAAGUUGUUGCAGUUAAAAAGCUCGUAGUUGAAUUUCGGGAUCAGUACGCCGGUCGUGCCUUCGGUAUGCACUGGUGUCACUGGUUUCUCCCUUCUGAAGAACCAUCAUGCCAUUCAGUUGGUGUGGCGGGGAAUCAGGACUGUUACUUUGAAAAAAUUAGAGUGUUUAAAGCAGGCUCGCGCAUGAAUACAUUAGCAUGGAAUAAUGAAAUAGGACGUUUGACCCUAUUUUGUUGGUUUCUAGGAUCGACGUAAUGAUUAAUAGGGAUAGUUGGGGGCAUUAGUAUUCAAUUGUCAGAGGUGAAAUUCUUGGAUUUAUUGAAGGCUAACUACUGCGAAAGCAUUUGCCAAGGAUGUUUUCAUUAAUCAAGAACGGAAGUUUGGGGAUCGAAGACGAUCAGAUACCGUCGUAGUCGUAACCAUAAACUAUGCCGACUAGGGAUCGGAUGAUGUUAAUUUUUUAAUGACUCAUUCGGCGCCUUACGGGAAAC
This 549-nucleotide ribosomal RNA is filed under the name uncultured Glomus. RNAcentral's name for it is "SSU rRNA". It matches the Rfam family "Eukaryotic small subunit ribosomal RNA", at positions 548 to 1098 of the family's 1831-position model. Lineage: Eukaryota; Fungi; Glomeromycota; Glomeromycetes; Glomerales; Glomeraceae. The record is from RNAcentral.